RNAcentral lists this ribosomal RNA (253 nucleotides) under uncultured bacterium. Its description in RNAcentral is "partial 16S ribosomal RNA". It matches the Rfam family "Bacterial small subunit ribosomal RNA", at positions 524 to 776 of the family's 1533-position model. The record is from RNAcentral.
UACGUAGGGUGCAAGCGUUGUCCGGAAUUAUUGGGCGUAAAGAGCUCGUAGGCGGUCUGUCGCGUCGGCUGUGAAAACCCGGGGCUCAACCCCGGGCCUGCAGUCGAUACGGGCAGACUAGAGUCCGGAAGAGGAGAGUGGAAUUCCUGGUGUAGCGGUGAAAUGCGCAGAUAUGAGGAAGAACACCCGUGGCUAAGGCGGCUCUCUAGUACGGUACUGACGCUGAGACGCGAAAGCGUGGGGAGCGAACAGG